GAUGAAGAACGCAGCGAAAUGCGAUAAGUAAUGUGAAUUGCAGAAUUCAGUGAAUCAUCGAAUCUUUGAACGCACAUUGCGCCCGCCAGUAUUCUGGCGGGCAUGCCUGUUCGAGCGUCAUUACAACCCUCAGGCCCCCGGGCCUGGCGUUGGGGAUCGGCGGAAGCCCCCUGUGGGCACACGCCGUCCCUCAAAUACAGUGGCGGUCCCGCCGCAGCUUCCAUUGCGUAGUAGCUAACACCUCGCAACUGGAGAGCGGCGCGGCCAUGCCGUAAAACACCCAACUUCUGAAUGUUGACCUCGAAUCAGGUAGGAAUACCCGCUGAACUUAAGCAUAUCAAUAAGCGGAGGAA
Molecule: unclassified non-coding RNA, 353 nt
Filed under: soil metagenome
Description: partial contains 5.8S ribosomal RNA, internal transcribed spacer 2, and large subunit ribosomal RNA
Rfam family: 5.8S ribosomal RNA (bases 1-120)
Source: RNAcentral